ACUUCCUGUUGUGUGGCCCAGACAGGGCACUGUCUGUGGCCCCAGGGGUUGAGGACCCCUGGCUUUAACAACAGAAAGGGAGGGAAUUGGGAUCUGAAGACGUUGCAUUCGAGGUCUCGGGGCUCCUGAUGAGCAGCCUCGGCCUGACCUGGGGCAGGUGUGAUGUCUGCGGCUCACCAUCUCCACCCUGCCUGCUGUGGAAUCUCCACAACGACAGGUGCUUUGGAGGCCAGAGUGCAUGCGUACGGGCCCUGCACACGCUGAAUGUCACUGGGAACAAGGACACACCCCGCUUCCAGGAGAAGAUAGAACAUGUCGACCCCUUUUGCUCUCGUUCUGUUGCCCAGGCUGGAGUUCAGUGGCAUGAUCUUGGCUCACUGCAGCCUCGAACUCACAGGCUUAGGUGAUCCUCCCACCUCAGCCUCCUCAGUAGCUGGGACUACAGAGCCAUCCCCAGUGCAGGACAUGCUAUUGACUUCCAUGAGACAAACACCUACUUGGAAAUCAGGUUUUUUCUGUACCUUUUGAAGGAGCAGGAAUUUCCCAGCAUUUCCUGGACAAAGACGGAGAGGAUGGCCAGAAGCAGACCCAGGAGGAGCUUCGGAACUGCACGGGGCAGGUGCAGCCUGGGGGUGGCACGGACCACAGAACACAAGAGGCAUCCAGGAGUCAGAUGCAGCAGAUAGAGGCCGCGUGCCUCACCGCCUGUGAAAUGCAGGGAGAGGAGGAUGUUUAUGUCACUGAGCCCAUCGGGCACAGCAUGGAAGUAUGUGACAUCCAUGGUUGACACUAGGAAGACAGCACUUGAGUUAGGCCUAUGAAGGGUGGAUCAUGACCUUGGGCUUUUGUGCAAAGAUGACACUCCUAUGCGUGGCCGUGUCCUCAAAUGCAUUGACAUUUAGCAUAAUGUUUUUAAGGUCCACCUAUGUUGUAGCCUUUAAAAAAAUCCAGGUGUCCUCAGGAGGUGUGAGUCCAGGGAUACCGCAAACGAUGCUUGUUCACUACCAGAAUGGGACCCUGGGAGGAAGAAGGCGUACAAAGUGUGUGAGCUCUGGGAGGGAAGAGAUAUCUCGUUGAGAGAAUCCCAAGGGUGUCAGAGGCUUGGAGAUCAUCCAGUAAGGAAACGAAGGCGCAAGCGUCGAUGUGGCUGUCUCUGGGUCCUAGGACAGGGCCUGUCCCCCCUGCCAGGGUGGUGCUGGCUCUUGGCCGCCUGCCAUCUUCCCUGCCUCACUGACCCAGCAAGACAAAGGUACAGAGAGAGUGUCCCCUCCUUUCAGACAGCGAGGCUGGGCAUCGUCAGGUUCCACACUGACGUGGAGCCCCUCUCCAUCAAGGCUUGGCCAGCAAAGGCCUGUGGUGGAGAAAGGUACUGAGAAUUGUGGAACCCGUGUAGGGCAGUGGCCCCGAUGUGUGGGCAUGGGGGGCAUUUCCCUCCCUUUUUGGUACCUCCUCAGGGUCCGCAGUGUGGUCCUGGGACUGCCUUCAUGGGCAUCAUAGGAAAGCCACACGGCAAGGCCCAGGCUGACCAUCUAAUCGGAGGACAGUACCCCUCGCUUCCUGCAGACCCCGGGCGGGCAUGUGGCACCCCAGUGAGGGGAAGAAGGGGCCAUGCCCCGACGGGUGCCGAGACCCACCUCCCGUGCUCUCCCUUCCUGUGGGGGCCUCCCUGCAGCUCCUCCCGGCGCCUCUUUGCAGCAGAAUCCCACGCAUUGCACCUUUCUUGAGCCCCUCCCUUCUUUCUUGGGUACUUGCCUGGUCUGGCAGCGGCCCUGACAGCUGGGCAUGGGGGCCUAUUCCACCUGGAUCUGCUUCGGGUUAAAUGGUCAUCAGUGAUGCACACUGACCCUUUUUUGUAAGUGUUGCUGUCUCUGGGUAACAUAUUUAUUUUUAUGGGGUCUCGUUCUGAUACCUCGGACGUCACCAUGGCACAGGCGCACCUCUGCAGAUGUCGGGGGCAGGUGGGUGUUUGCGUUCCAUUGAAACCUGUCUGUGCUUGUCAGAGGAUGGCCAGAAGCAGACCCAGGAGGAGCUUCGGAACUGCACUAGGCAGGUGCAGCCUGGGGGUGGCACGGACCACGGAACACAAGAGACAUCCAGCAGGCAGAUGUAGUAGAUAGAGGCCGCGUGCCUCACUGCCUGUGAAAUGCAGGGAGAGGAGGGUGUUUGUGUCACUGAGCCGCUCAGGGAGCAGAGUUUCUGAGUCAGUUUAGACAAGACACACUCCCGUGGUGGCUCUGGGGCCAUGUUCUCCUGUGCCUGGUCACUGCAGGGGGGGCUGUGGCAUCCCUCCGUCUGCAGCCACGGCAGCAGGAGAGCCACAUCAGUAGAACUCAGUGACUCCAACAACGGGGCAUCCUGGCCUGGGGAGGUCCGCCGCAGACCUGUGCUUCAGGACACGGAAGUGGCAUGUUUGAGAAGGGACUAGACCUGGGCAGCCGUUAGGUUCAGCCCUGCUUUGACAGGUGUGGCUCGAGGAAUCCAGCGCCAUCAGCCGGGGCAGCGCAGGCGGGAGGAGCUGGGCCUCUCACUCCCGGCAGGGCCCUGUCACUCCUGCUGCUGCUGAAUCUGUGUGUUCUGUUCCCUCAGAAGAGAAUUCUGGUCCUUUUCCCCUGGGAUUGAGGUCUCCUGGGCUCAGUCUGCAGUGGGAAACCCGGUAAGAGGAGCCCCCCGCACUGCCCCACUUUCCAGAUCCUUUCUCCAUCAGUACCAGGGGCUGCAGCAGCGGUGCCCAAAUCGCCCUCAGCCUCCCUUUCUGCUCUGCCGACUCCUGGGACACGGCCCUCCACCGUUCCCCAGCCUCUGGGCACCCCGGCUCGCCACAGUGGCCCUUGGUGCCUCUGGACUGGUCCUGAGUGUGUGCCGGCAGCCUCUGGCUUUUGAGGCAAUGCUUUCCUGACAAUACAUCUGUGGGUUGAGUGGGUGGAAACUGAAUCGCCGACUUACGUUUAUUUUCUUUUUUGCUUUUGGAAUUUUUUUUUCCUGAGCUGAAAUUCACAUAACAUAAAACUAACCAUUUCAAAAUGAAGAAUUCAGCAGCAAUUAGUACUUACACAAGGUUUUCCAGCCACCAUCUCUACCUACUUGUAACACAUUUCCCUCACCCCAAGAGGAAACCCCAAGCUGGGCAUGGUGGUGCGUGCCUGUGGUCCCAGCCAGUCAGGUCCCAGCUGCUCGGGAGGCUGAGGUGGGAGGAUCACUUGAGCCCAGGAGGUCGAGGUUGCAGUGAGCCGUGAUCGUGCCACUGCACUCCAGCCUGGGCAACAGAGCGAGACCCUGUCUCUAAAAACAAAAACAGAAGGAAACCCUGAGCCUGCGAAACAAAAGGAAACCCUGACCCCAUGAACAGUCUCUCCUCAUUCUGCCUCCCCACAGUCCCUGGCUGCCGCUCAUCUGCUUUCUGUCCAUGGAUCACCUAUUCUGGGUGUUUCAUGUACAUGGAAUUGUAUAAUAUGUGGCCUUUUGUGCCCAGUUUCUCGCACUAAGCAUAACAUUUUCAAGGUUCAUCUAUGUUGUCACGUGUAUCACUGCUUCAGGACUUUUUUUGCUUUUUUGUUUUUGAGAUGGAGUCUUGCUCCAUCACCCAGGCUGGAGUGCAAUGGUACAAUCUCGGCUCACUGCAACCUCCGCCUCCCAGGUUCAAGCGAUUCUCCUGCCUCAGCCUCCUGAGUAGCGGGGAUUACAGGCGUCCGCCACCACGCCUGGCUAAUUUUUUUAUAUUUUUAGUAGAGAUGGGAUUUCACCAUGUUGGCCAGACUGGUCUCAAACUCCUGACCUCAGGUGAUCCACCCGCCUCUGCCUCCCAAAGUGCUGAGAUUACAGGCGUGAGCCACUGUGCCUGGCCGGGAUGUUUUAAGAAUGAAUAAUGUUCAUGUGUAUGAAUAGACCACACUUUGUUUAUCCAUCCGUCUGUUGAUGGACACCUGGGUUGCUUCCAUCUUUUAGUGACUAUAAAUAAUGAUGCUAUGAGUAUAUGUGUACCAGUUUUUGAGUACCAGUUUUCAGUUCUUUUGGGUGUAUACCUAGGAGCGGAAUUGCUGGGUCAUACGGUAAUUCUAUGUUUAACUUUUUAAGGAACAACCAAACUGUUUUUCAUAGCAGCUGCACCAUUUUUCAUUCCCACCAGCAAUGUAUGAGCGUCCUAAUUUCUCCACAUCCUCACCAACUCUUGUUAUUUUCAGUUUUCUUUUUUUAAAUUGUAGUUACCCUAGAGGUUGUAAAGUGGUAUCUCAUUGUUGUUCUGAUUUGCAUUUUCUUAAUGACUGGUGAUGUUGAACAUCUUUUCAUGUGCUUAUUGGCCAUUUAUAGAUCUCCUUUGGAGAAAUAUCUAUUAGGUCCUUCGAUCAUUUUAAAAUUGGGUUGUUCGUCUUUGCUAUUGACUUGUAAGAAUUCCUUUAUAUUCCAGAUGCUAGAUCCUUAUCAGAGAGAUGAUUUGCAAACGUUUUCUCCAACUCUGUGGGUAGCCUUUUCACUGUCUUGAUAAUGCCCUUUGAUGCACAGGCGUAUUUCUCAAGUGAUUUUAUUCCCACAAGGCUAAACGUUACCAUAUUUCUCAUACUUCACUUUUCUGACAAAAUCCUGCUGAAAACUUUAACAAUAUUAUUGAAGUUUGGUUUGAGCCUUUUCCCCCAAUAAAACACACAGUCCUCAAGGCUUUGAUUUAAUUUAAUAAUUAAAUACUUGAAUCCCUGCACACCCUUGCACUGCUGGGGGAGACAGGGAGAUGUGAGGAGCUCUCCAGUGGCACUGCCACCUAAAGGCAACGUGGCUGCACGUGACCAAAUACGUCACUGGCUGUCAGGCAACGAAGUGGUCCAGUGGAUUCACUGGGGUGGGCAUGAUAGUUCCAACCAACCAGAGCUGGAUGCACAUGAGCCUGCACACACUCUUUAGCCCACCUGAUUGUUUUCUACUAUAAAACUCAAGGCAUAUGUAAAAUAGUCACGGAUACCUUAAGGAAGGCCCCUGUUAGGUUUAUGGUGACUUCAGGGUGGGUUGACUUCUUUAUGAUCAACCUAGACUUCCACUCCCUCCCUGGGCAAAGAGCUGGCCCAGCACUCCAAGUAGGGAGCUCUUUAUGGAUAUUGAUCGCUGCUCUGGAGAUGAGCUAGGACCAGACUGGAAGCAUGAGUUGCGGGGCUGCUGGGGUUAAACGGGAAGAGAGCAUGCUGGUGGGGGCUGCCAGGAGAGCUUGAUGAGGGAGCAGUUCUCUGAAUGGGAGACUUGUUACUUGCACACAGAGCCUUCAAUGACUGUGACAUUUUGCUCUAUGUCACAGGCUCCUGGGGCCUACAGAAAGGAGCUGGAGGUGCCUAGUGCAGGCUGGGAGGCCUCCUUUAUUGAGGUGACAUCCCUGGAUGCUGGCUUGGCGGAGGUUGGGGAGAACGCUGCCUCCCUGGAAUAGAAGAUGCCUUGGAAGCCCUGGGUGCAGGCUGGCCGACCCUGCCUGAGCUGCCUGUCUUCAUUCCAUGGCUCUGCUUGUUAGAGGAGGAAGUUAGGCAGACAUGAGUGGCGCCCACCAGCCCAGGAAUGUCAGGUGACCAUCAGGUGAUGGUCAGGCAGUUGUUAAACUGUCUCUCUGAAAUGAUCAUUGGUUGCAGCUCACACCAGGGGAAGAUGGUCUCCCAAUAAAUAAAAAAACACCUGAAACUGGUGAUCAGCAGCUUCCCGAUAAGCUCUCGAGUUGGGCGAGUGGGCUCAAGCGUGCGCACUAAGAGGCAAAAUGGCGGAUGUAUGAACUUCCUCUGGGGGCAUUCAACCAGUAAAGGAAAACCGCCCCUAGAGAGCAUGCGCACAACCUCAGUCAACUCACUACACAUGCAAUUACCCUCCUGAGUGCUGACCAACACUGCUGCAUGGGGCUGUUGAGCAACAGCCCGCCCCAAGGGAAGAACCGAGGGAGGAGAAGAGAAAACUCCAGAGCCGUGCCAACGGAUAAACCCCACGCCCAGGGCUGAGCGGUCACUUGGAUCUCUCACGUGGCGCACUCAGCCCUCUUCCAAGUAUACUUUAACUUCCUUUCACUCCUGCUCUAAAACUUUUUCAUAAACCCUCACUCCUGUUCUAAAACGUGCCUCAAUCUCUCCCUCUACCUUAAACCUACUUCUGCUCCAGAUUCUUUCCACUGAGGAGGCAAGGAUGGAGUUGCUGCUGACCCGUGCAGAUUUGCUGCUGGUAACAUACUCAUGGGCAAAGUCUGAAAAACCUCUUCCUGCCCUGGGCAAGGCAGAUGGGGCAGCCCAGCAGGCUGGCUUUGCCCACCGUCUCCGAUAUCAUCCAACACAGUCAGCCAGGUUGUGUGGCCCUCUCAUCUACAUUCUCAUUUGCCAACAAGAUGGUGUGGGCUAUGCUGUCUUUGCACAGCGAUCUGAUCCCAGGGACAUUUGUGUGGGUGUGUGCCCGGGAGCUGCAUGUCUGCAGGUUCAGAUUGGGGUCAGCUUUGCUGGUGAGUGUGGCUUCCUGCCAUGGCACCAAAGAAGAGGGCUGGCGGAUUAGUCCUGUUGUCUCUCAUAGCUUUGUAGGGACACAGCGGGCCAUGUGGACUGACAGCUGGAGACUUCAUAAAGAUGGCCUAGAAAAUUAGGACACUGUCCUGUUGACAAAGCCCCUAGGCCUGCCCCCAUCAGGCCUCAUGGGUCCUUUUCAGGCCUAAGCCAGGGUUCUGAAAUCAUCUGUAAUGUGAAUUUAUAUUUCUAGGCCACAUUCGCUGCAUCCUUUCCAGCAAGAUGUCAUUCUGAGAUUUUUGUCAUUCCUGGGCGUUAUGAGGACUGCCAAGGGACACAAUUCCAUGGGAGGAAAGUUUUCUUCUAAGCUGCAAGCCAGCUCUGGCUUCUGGAGUUUCUCCUUAGGAUUGCAAGACAGUAGUUCCCUGUCCUUUAGGUCUUCUCCAGAAAUACCUUAAAAUAGCAAAUAAAAUAAGAUAUAAGCAAACAAAACCUGAAGUUAAC
Molecule: long non-coding RNA, 6944 nt
Filed under: Homo sapiens (human)
Lineage: Eukaryota; Metazoa; Chordata; Mammalia; Primates; Hominidae
Description: non-protein coding LINC02081:18
Source: RNAcentral